Molecule: long non-coding RNA, 1402 nt
Filed under: Struthio camelus australis
Lineage: Eukaryota; Metazoa; Chordata; Aves; Struthioniformes; Struthionidae
Description: lncRNA (ENSSCUG00000006790.1)
Source: RNAcentral
AGACACUCCUGUGUUUCACCCAGCCCUCCAGGGACUGUAUUCCAGAGUCUGAAUAAACAGGAACAUGCUAAGACAUUGGAUCUGUUACUCUGUACUACCUGCAAGUCCAUAUACUACUGCAUUUGUCAGCCUUGGCAUUUCAGACAAAGAGGAGAGAAUGGAUUCAACACAGACAAAUAAACCUGCUGCUGGAUGGGAAAAGACAGACAUUAUAAUGGAUGGAAUACAACUUAAGCAUUUUCCAAUUCUUUUAACUUGCUACCUUGUGGCAACGUACAUUGUUCAGGCCAUAGAUUAUGUCUCCCUUACAAAUGAGACCAUGCAAACAAACACACAGAGUAGGUUGGAAAAACAAUGUCUCCUGAAGCUGUUAUAGCAUCCAGUAUUUCAGAUAAAGUCCAUCAAACCACAACGCAGGGUGCAACUAUCAGCCACAAUACAAGGCUCAGAAUGGAUAGCGGCAGUAACUCUCCUUUAAUAACCACAUCAUAUGUGGCACAUGUUGCAUCAAACACCAUUCACCAUCCAAGCUCAAACACUAACAAGUCUUCAGAUAUCACAAGAUUCAAAUCUGUUGCGACUCUACCACGUAAUUUUUUAUCAUCUACUAGAACUAUAAAUCAAACAACAUCAGAAAUGCUGGAAGCAGCUGAUCAGCUUUUCACAACCAUACCAACAAUCACCCGUGAAGCUCUAACUCCAAAUUGUACAACCCAGGCUCCAGCAGGAGAAGCUCAUCUAUGGACUUCCAAGACCAUUCUGGCUAUUAGUUUCAACAGCCUCACCUUUACUCUUCUAGUGAUUAUUAUAUACAUUCAUAACAAGUACGGGAAAAGAAUUGCCCAGUAUUCACAUCAUCAACUGAAUGAGAACUCUCCUGAAACAGGUUGGCCCAACUUUUUAAAAUGACAUAUUCUAUGAAGACAAACCUACAUUUCCAAGUGUAUAACAUGCAUGAGACAGAACCAUUUUCUGAUUCUGCUUAAUAGAGCACUGAAACGCAGUAACUUCUCAGACAGAACCUGCAGCACACUGCCAGAGCCUUUGCACAUAUUCACAGGGUACCUGGAGGUUAGGUCUUGGAGUAUUUCAAGCCAAGACUGACAGUAGGUCUGCUCUGCUAAAUGCAGCAAAAUUCCAGGAUGCUUCUGGAAGGGCACUGCUGCUCAAAAGAAUGUAAAUGGAAUGCUAUGCAGACUUUGUAUGAACUGCAGAAAUAAGAGACAUCCUCUACGGAAGCUGCUGUAGAUCCUGGGCUUGAGGGAAAGUACUCCUCCACGGAAAUAAGUUAUAAAUUGAUAUCUGCACAAUCAUUAUCAAUUAUAUCCUUACUAAUGGGACAUUUAAUAUUUCAUACCUCUUUAAAACAGAUUGGAAAGUAAAAACUCAGAGGAAAAAGAAA